RNAcentral lists this unclassified non-coding RNA (485 nucleotides) under Hevea brasiliensis (rubber tree). Lineage: Eukaryota; Viridiplantae; Streptophyta; Magnoliopsida; Malpighiales; Euphorbiaceae. The record is from RNAcentral.
GGCAGUUUUCUUUACCACUAAUGUAAUUAAAAAAAUUGUAUGAGACAUUUACAAAUUUCCAUUAAAAAAAUUGAACUUAUCACAGAAGUUUAACCCUAUUUUAAGUGUCUUAUGUUUUGUAUCGUUCAAAAAUAAGUAAUAACUUUUCAUAAAAAGCAUAUGUUAAUUAAUUCUUAAAAAAGUAAAAGUAGAAAUAUGAAAAUUUAAAAAAAAGGAAAACGAUGUAAACAAAGUAGUAGCAGCUGAUUAGGGCUGUUGAAGAAGACACUAAAAUGCCUAAUUCAUUGAUAUUUUAAUGCUGAAAUUAACCCCUUGCUUCAUUAAAGUGCUUCUGAAGGAGACAAUGAAAAAUUUUUAUUUAUUCCUUAUUUUUUAGUACUAAUUUUUAUUUAUUUUUAUUGCGAUAUAUUCUUUUCUUUUAUUUUUUUAAAAUAUAUAAUUUUAUGGCUUAAUUUAACAUGCAAUGUUAAAUCUUGGACAUCAAC